RNAcentral lists this long non-coding RNA (1031 nucleotides) under Homo sapiens (human). RNAcentral describes it as "HSALNT0033932". The record is from RNAcentral. Lineage: Eukaryota; Metazoa; Chordata; Mammalia; Primates; Hominidae.
GUUCAACUUGAGAAGAGACCUGUUCCUUCUGGGAAGGAAUUAUGGAGUUACCAAAUAGCCCCACCACACCGGUCCAGGCACCCUGAGGUCACGGACAAGUUCUCUGGAAAUGGGCUGGAGUCCUCACGAAGGCUCCGUUGGGAAGAUGUGGACACAGAGAGUCCAGGCACCUCCAUGCCAGGUGGAAGCCUUGGAGACGUGAUUGCUGCCAGGGUGUCUCCAGAGAUGUGAGGCCCAAUUUCCAUCUUCUGGCUCACAAGGAAUCCUAGCAAUGGGCCCUGGGUCCUACCUGCCCUCGUCUUCUGACUGCCCCUGCUAAUACUCAUUUCUGCCUCCAUGGGCUCCUACCUCCUCAUUCUAGGCAAUUUCCUUUUCGCUCCUCCCAGCUGAUGAGGGCCUCCUCCUGGCCCUAGGUCACUCCCAUGGUAAGAUAAAUGCAAGUUGCUUCCCAGCCAGGCUUGACCUCUAUCUACUGCCACCAACCCACCCCUCCCACUGUGCCUUCGUUUCCUAAGCUGUAAAAUGGGAAUCAUAGUAGGAAGGGUCCUUGAGGGAUGAAAUGAGAUCAUAUAUGCGCAAGUUUGCGGGAAUACAGGAGCCCAAUGUCUUAACAGUCUUCCGUCUUCCUCCUGACUCUGUCCCCUCAACCUUAGAUUCCCCAAGACAGCAACCACAGAGAGAGUGUAUAAAAGGAGACGCGAAAACAUAAGAAAUCAAAGAAGGGCCCCACCCUUUGAGAUCCUCUGAGCUGAUGGGAGAGAUACAGUCUCUGCCUCGGGGAGCUCCCAAUGUGUUUGUGUCUAGGUUUGUGUGUCUGUGUGUCUGUGUGGUAGUGGAGGGGCGUGUUUCCCAACCAGAGAGGAGAGCCCAGAUGUGUGUACUGGGCCUAGAACAACUCUUGUGGUGUCUUUUUAGCAGGCAGGGACAAUCAACAAAUUCAUUAAGUACCUAUUUACACAUCUAUUGUCAAAGCUAAUAAUUUGAUUUAACUAAGCUGAUUACCUUCAUUAAAAACCAUUAGUUCCCAUAAG